This 292-nucleotide ribosomal RNA is filed under the name uncultured bacterium. Its description in RNAcentral is "partial 16S ribosomal RNA". It matches the Rfam family "Bacterial small subunit ribosomal RNA", at positions 505 to 796 of the family's 1533-position model. The record is from RNAcentral.
GUGCCAGCAGCCGCGGUAAUACGUAGGUGGCAAGCGUUGUCCGGAUUUAUUGGGUUUAAAGGGUGCGUAGGCGGUCUAUUAAGUCAGUUGUGAAAUACGGCAGCUCAACUGUCGAGGUGCAAUUGAUACUGAUGGACUUGAGUACUGAUGAGGUAAGCGGAAUGGACGGUGUAGCGGUGAAAUGCUUAGAUAUCGUCCAGAACACCGAUAGCGAAGGCAGCUUACUAAGGAGUAACUGACGCUGAGGCACGAAAGUGUGGGGAUCAAACAGGAUUAGAUACCCUGGUAGUCC